GGUCAAGCUACUAAGGGUGAACGGUGGAUGCCUUGGCGCAGAGAGGCGAUGAAGGACGUGGCAAGCUGCGAUAAGCUUCGGGGAGCCGCAAACAGGCUUUGAUCCGGAGAUUUCCGAAUGGGGAAACCCGGCUGGGGUCAUGCCCAGUCAUCCCGGGGUGAACACAUAGCUCCGUGGAAGCGAACGAGGGGAAGUGAACCAUCUCAGUACCCUCAGGAAGAGAAAACAACUGUGAUUCCGUCAGUAGCGGCGAGCGAACGCGGAAGAGCCCAAACCGGUGGGGUGUCAAGCCCGCAAGCGUUGCUUCAUCGGUGUCGUGGGACAUUGCUUGGCCCGGUUGCGGAUGGGCCGGAGAGUUACAAAGCACCAGCCUAGCGGAAGACCUCUGGAAGGGGUCGCCAGAGAGGGUGACAGCCCCGUAUGCAAAAGGUUCGGUGUCUCUCUUGCAGUGCUCCCAAGUACCACGGGACACGAGAAACCCCGUGGGAAUUCGGGUGGACCAUCACCCAAGGCUAAAUACUACUCUGCGACCGAUAGUGAACCAGUACCGUGAGGGAAAGGUGAAAAGUACCCCUGUUAGGGGAGUGAAAUAGAACCUGAACCCGUUUACCUACAAGCAGUGGGAGCGCUAUGGCCCUCGGGCAAUGCGUGACCGCGUGCCUUUUGCAUAAUGAGGCGGCUAGUUACUGUCACUGGCAAGGUGAAGCGACGUGCAUAACCGAAGCGAAAGCGAGUCUGAAUAGGGCGUACAGUCAGUGGUAGUAGACGCGAAGCGAGGUGAUCUACCCAUGGCCAGGGUGAAGCUGCGGUAACACGCAGUGGAGGCCCGAACCAGUGUCGGUUGAAAACGGCUUGGAUGAGCUGUGGGUAGGGGUGAAAGGCCAAUCAAACCUCGUAAUAGCUCGUUCUCCUCGAAAUAGCUUUAGGGCUAGCCUCGCGGAUUGCAUCACGGAGGUAGAGCACUGGAUGGACUAGGGGGCCUUCACAGCCUACCGACUCCAACCAAACUCCGAAUGCCGUAGAUGUGUACCGCGGGAGUCAGACUGCGGGGGAUAAGCUCCGUAGUCGAGAGGGAAACAACCCAGACCGCCAGCUAAGGUCCCGAAAUGUCAACUAAGUGGGAAACGAAGUGGAGAUGCUCAGACAGCCAGGAGGUUGGCUUAGAAGCAGCCAUCCUUUAAAGAAAGCGUAAUAGCUCACUGGUCAAGUGAAUCUGCGCGGAAAAUUCAACGGGGCUAAGUUGACUACCGAAGCUGCGGACUCUCGCAACCCUCCGGGGGAGCGGGAUUGGUAGAGGAGCAUUCUGUGCGUGCUGAAGCCGGACCGUAAGGACUGGUGGAAUGCACGGAAGAGACCCUGCCGCCACAAGUAGCGAUAAAGCAGGUGAGAACCCUGCUCGCCGAAAGUCUAAGGUUUCCUGGGCAAGGUCAAUCCGCUCAGGGUUAGUCGGCUCCUAAGGCGAGGCCGAAAGGCGUAGUCGAUGGGAAACAGGUUAAUAGUCCUGUACCACCUUGUUCUCGUUCGUACGACGGGGUGACGCAGAAGGAUAGCUCUACCUACGAUUGGAAGUGUAGGGGCAAGCGUGUAGGAGGGGGUGGUAGGAAAAUCCGCCGUCCCAUUCAAACUCCGAGGCGUGAUGCAGUGCUCGUCAGAGCGGAAGUGAGUGAUUCCAUGCUGCCUAGAAAAACCUCUAAGGAGAGUUCAGGGUGACCGUACCGCAAACGGACACACGUAGGCUGGGAGAGUAUCCCAAGGCGCUUGAGUGAUCUCUUGUGAAGGAACUCGGCAAAUUAACACCGUAACUUCGGGAGAAGGUGUGCCACUGAGGGUGUAGGAGUUCGCCUCCGAAGCUCUCGGUGGUCGCAGUGACUAGGCCCAGGCGACUGUUUACUAAAAACACAGGACUCUGCAAAGUCGAAUACGACGUAUAGGGUCUGACGCCUGCCCGGUGC
Molecule: ribosomal RNA, 1952 nt
Filed under: Acidobacteriota bacterium
Lineage: Bacteria; Pseudomonadati; Acidobacteriota
Description: partial 23S ribosomal RNA
Rfam family: Bacterial large subunit ribosomal RNA
Source: RNAcentral